This 1220-nucleotide long non-coding RNA is filed under the name Salvia miltiorrhiza (redroot sage). RNAcentral's name for it is "long non-coding RNA (SMIL_LNC004726)". The record is from RNAcentral. Lineage: Eukaryota; Viridiplantae; Streptophyta; Magnoliopsida; Lamiales; Lamiaceae.
AUAAAUGAUCGGCAUCAAUGCCUAAUUUUUCGUUCUCAAAAAUCUAAGGUUAAUGUCAAUGUAGUUCGUAUUUUUUUAAUGUUAUUUAGUUGCUUUUGGUUGUUCUGCAAUCUGUUGCAAACACACUGACUGAGAUUAGGAGAAAAUAUUGAUUGAGAUAGAAUUAUAGGGUUAGGAUUGGGGUGUUAAAGAGUAUACUUUUUAAUUUGGUAGUUUUUUAUAGUCAUGGCGAACUUGAUUAGAAUUUUGCAUAUUGACGGUUUUCUGAUGCAUUUAUAUAUGGUAUGGUAUAACUGGUUGAAGUUUGGGGUUUUUCUUAUAAAACUUGGAAUGGUUAUCGGAGUUGAAAAUCAAUUGACUUUUCCAUUUCUUUUUAUAUCUAUGGACUGAUUUUUUUUAAGACGCAUCAAUGCCAUAUUUGGUACCCAAUAUCUCAUAGUGUAUUUUGUUUCUUCUGUUUUUUUCUUUCUAAUAUAUGUAUACUGAUUUGAUCAGCAACAAUUCCUAAGUUUUCGUUCCCAGAAAUCUAAAGUUUAGUGUAACGGAGUUUAAUUUGGAUUUUUUUAAUGUCAUUUGAUUGCUUUUGAUUUUUCUCCAAUAUGUUUGGAAACACAUUGACUGAAAUCAAUAGAAAUUAUUGAUUAAGAUAGAAUUGUAGGGUUAGGAUUGAUCAAGUGUUAAAGAGUAUACUUUUUGAUGAUUUGUAUAUGUUGUUUUUGAUAGUUAUGACUUACUAAAAUUCUACAUAAUGGACAAUUGUCUGAUGCAUUUAUGUUGUUGCAAAUUUGACCUUGUCUAGUUUCCUUGUCCAGUAAUUUAUGUUGCUUGCGAAUGAAUCUUGGAUGUUAUGUUUUAAUAAAAAGAGUUUUUCCAUUCAAUUACUUAUUUGUCUUUUUUACUCAUUUUCAGUGGAUUUUGGUAGUUAUAGCAUUUCUAUUUGCGUCGGAGAUAGCUGUGCUUACCGGUGGAGAGCGUGUGCAAAGUAUUCUUGUUAUGACUCCGGUCAUGUUGUACCUGGUGGUACUUAUUCUCUUUUCCGUUAGUUACAACAAUCGUGCAGCGGUUAUUGAAGAUGUUGAAUCUGAUUUUGGGGUUCAAGUUGGUUUGCGUGCUCUUAAGCGGAUGGAGAUCUUCCAUUACAUAUGUUGCCUCGUCGGAUUCCUCGCAGCCUUUUUCGAUUUCCUGAGGAUAGGUCUUGGUUGGACUACUAUAUCGACGAG